AUUGAACGCUGGCGGCAGGCCUAACACAUGCAAGUCGAGCGGUAGAGAGGUGCUUGCAUCUCUUGAGAGCGGCGGACGGGUGAGUAAUGCCUAGGAAUCUGCCUAGUGGUGGGGGAUAACGUUCGGAAACGGACGCUAAUACCGCAUACGUCCUACGGGAGAAAGCGGGGGAUCUUCGGACCUCGCGCCAUUAGAUGAGCCUAGGUCGGAUUAGCUAGUUGGUGAGGUAAUGGCUCACCAAGGCGACGAUCCGUAACUGGUCCGAGAGGAUGAUCAGUCACACUGGAACUGAGACACGGUCCAGACUCCUACGGGAGGCAGCAGUGGGGAAUAUUGGACAAUGGGCGAAAGCCUGAUCCAGCAAUGCCGCGUGCAGGAAGAAGGCCUUCGGUU
This 393-nucleotide ribosomal RNA is filed under the name uncultured bacterium. RNAcentral's name for it is "bacterial SSU rRNA". It matches the Rfam family "Bacterial small subunit ribosomal RNA", at positions 30 to 423 of the family's 1533-position model. The record is from RNAcentral.